Molecule: long non-coding RNA, 362 nt
Filed under: Struthio camelus australis
Lineage: Eukaryota; Metazoa; Chordata; Aves; Struthioniformes; Struthionidae
Description: lncRNA (ENSSCUG00000011218.1)
Source: RNAcentral
UCCAUAAUUAUUUGCUAAAUUACUUGCUAUUAAAAGUUAAGCCAUGCAUCUCCCCAUUAUUUACAAUUUUUUUCAUGUUUUUAAGCUGCAAUUUGCCCAACAGAUACGAGCACAAUUUACUCUGGGCUUGCAUAGCACUUAACACGCACUUCCAUGGCGGAUGCCCAAAUUAUUCUUUGCUGCUUCGUGACUGAUUGUUAUGCCUGGGAAAAUGAACUGCAUACAGUGUCUGGGGUCCUUCCAGUCUACGGGUGCUGACGGAGUUGCACUGCUUGAACACUGAAUAACUACAUAGGUAGGAUGUUUCUAGCAAGUACAUCCAUUUCAAGACAAUUUGGUAAAUACAUUUCUUCUGUAUCAUA